UACGUAGGGGGCGAGCGUUGUCCGGAGUUACUGGGCGUAAAGCGUGCGCAGGCGGUUUGUUAAGUCCGUUGUGAAAGCCCCGAGCUCAACUUGGGAAUUGCAGUGGAUACUGGCAGGCUGGAGUACGGUAGAGGAAGGUGGAAUUCCCGGUGUAGCAGUGAAAUGCGUAGAUAUCGGGAGGAACACCAGUGGCGAAGGCGGCCUUCUGGACCAGUACUGACGCUCAUGCACGAAAGCGUGGGGAGCAAACAGG
RNAcentral lists this ribosomal RNA (253 nucleotides) under uncultured bacterium. Its description in RNAcentral is "partial 16S ribosomal RNA". It matches the Rfam family "Bacterial small subunit ribosomal RNA", at positions 524 to 776 of the family's 1533-position model. The record is from RNAcentral.